Molecule: ribosomal RNA, 23 nt
Filed under: Hebeloma sinapizans
Lineage: Eukaryota; Fungi; Basidiomycota; Agaricomycetes; Agaricales; Hymenogastraceae
Description: partial 18S ribosomal RNA
Source: RNAcentral
AGUACGAUCAUUGACCGAAUGAA